GACGGACUGUCCUAACGUUGUUCGGAAUCACUGGGCUUAAAGGGCGCGUAGGCGGUCCGACAAGUCAGGGGUGAAAUCCUGCAGCUUAACUGCAGAAGUGCCUUUGAUACUGUCGGUCUUGAGGGAGAUAGGGGUGUGCGGAACUCACAGUGGAGCGGUGAAAUGCGUUGAUAUUGUGAGGAACGCCGGAGGCGAAAGCGGCGCACUGGAUCUCUUCUGACGCUGAGGCGCGAAAGCUAGGGGAGCAAACGGG
RNAcentral lists this ribosomal RNA (253 nucleotides) under uncultured organism. RNAcentral describes it as "partial 16S ribosomal RNA". It matches the Rfam family "Bacterial small subunit ribosomal RNA", at positions 524 to 776 of the family's 1533-position model. The record is from RNAcentral.